Long non-coding RNA from Scophthalmus maximus (turbot), 1248 nucleotides. RefSeq lists it as uncharacterized. The transcript has 9 exons. NCBI's taxonomy places the organism in Eukaryota, Metazoa, Chordata, Actinopteri, Pleuronectiformes, Scophthalmidae. The record is from RefSeq and is a predicted model, not a curated record.
CAAAUAUUGCUAAAAAAACAACAACCUCAAGCUUGAUCUGUGUAUACAGUAAAAUGACCUCUUCAUGACUAUUCUUGGCCAAGUCCCCUGCUGAAACUGAGGAAGAGGAGCCAGAGGCCAUGACUGCAGAAGGGACAGGCUUAGGAUGUUUCGCAGUGAAGAAGCCCCUGAAAGACCUGCAAGGACAGUUCGCCGUGUCAAAAUUAGAUUUGGGUUUAUUCAAAAUCCAUGGGACACAAUUUACAUGCUGGAUCUGAAAUAAGAAAAAUUGUGGUGGCCCUGUCAGCGUCAGAAGCAGAGUUCACAGAUACAUUAAAAAGAGAGUUCCCGGAAGUCCGAGACACUCCCUUCCAUCUCUGCAAGGUGGAUAGGCGGAGGCGUAUAAUCCCCCUCAAUUUAACCUCUAUCUGCCCAUCUGCUAUAAAAGCCUGCCCUGAAGUUGGUAGAUUCGCCAUCUACAUUAGACCAAAUGCAAUUCAUGAAGAAGAUCCCAAGGGAGAUUCAGAAGAUGCAAAUUUGCCGGCAUGGAGAGCACUGAGGCAAGAGCAGGACGAGGAAUUCCAUCAAUCUUUGUCCAUUGAUCAAGAGAGGGAGAGGAGACGGAGGGAAAUGAUAAAUCAAGAGCAGCGUCGGAGAAAGCCAUAGAAGAUAGAGUGGACCUGAUCAACAGUGUUGAGGAACCAGUAGAUGGCGUCGAACUCCACUGCAAAUUUCCAGAUGGAAGAAUUUCCAAUAGAUUUUAUUUAUCCCAGCCAUUCCAGGAAUUGCUGGCUCCUCCUUCCAGUCUCUCUCCCCCAAGUUUUUCACCUCCUCAUCGCCCAUCAACUCCUCCCAGUCCUUCACCUCCUCCCAGUCCUUCACCUCCUCCCAGUCCAUCACCUCCUCCCAGUCCAUCACCUGCUUGUAGUCUGGAUGUUGUCAACAUUCUCCAAGGUCUUAGGGAGACACUCAAACUCCUCCCCAACAGAGCUAAUCAAAUUAAUGCUCUGCGUGGGGAGGAGUUUGAUUGCGCGGCCCAAGCCUUCAGCAGAGCUAAUUUUGACCCAGAGUCAAAAUUAGAUGUCGUGUUCGUAGACGAUGAUGGUAUUGGAGAGGGGGCUGUGGAUGAAAGUGGUCCAACAAGGGAGUUCUGCCGCCUUCUCACCAGGCAACUCCAAACACAUAACAUUUUUGAAGGGCCCCUGGAACAACGCACCUUGGCCCUAGAUAGUGUUGGUAAGUGUUAUGCAAUGCAUAGAAAUGUUUUUU